GUGUCAGCCGCCGCGGUAAUACAGAGGGUGCGAGCGUUAAUCGGAAUUACUGGGCGUAAAGCGCACGUAGGUGGCUAUGUAAGUCAGGUGUGAAAUCCCCGGGCUCAACCUGGGAACUGCACUUGGGACUGCAUGGCUAGAGUAUGGGAGAGGAAGGCGGAAUUCCCGGUGUAGCGGUGAAAUGCGUAGAUAUCGGGAGGAACAUCAGUGGCGAAGGCGGCCUUCUGGCCCAAUACUGACACUCAGGUGCGAAAGCGUGGGGAGCAAACAGGAUUAGAAACCCCCGUAGUCC
This 292-nucleotide ribosomal RNA is filed under the name uncultured bacterium. RNAcentral's name for it is "partial 16S ribosomal RNA". It matches the Rfam family "Bacterial small subunit ribosomal RNA", at positions 505 to 796 of the family's 1533-position model. The record is from RNAcentral.